UGGGGAAUUUUGCACAAUGGGGGAAAUCCUGAUGCAGCGACGCCGCGUGAUUUAGAAGGCCUUCGGGUUGUAAAAAUCUUUUCUAUGGGAAGAAAAUGACAGUACCAUAGGAAUAAGGACCGGCUAAUUACGUGCCAGCGGCCGCGGUAAUACGUAAGGUCCGAGCGUUGUCCGGUAUCAUUGGGCGUAAAGGGUACGUAGGCGGGUAAGCAAGUUAGAAGUGAAAUCCUAUAGCUCAACUAUAGUAAGCUUUUAAAACUGCUCAUCUUGAGGUAUGGAAGGGAAAGUGGAAGUCCUAGUGUAGCGGUGAAAUGCGCAGAUAUUAGGAGGAAUACCGGUGGCGAAGGCGACUUUCUGGCCAUAACCUGACGCUGAGGUACGAAAGCGUGGGUAGCAAACAGG
This 402-nucleotide ribosomal RNA is filed under the name bacterium. RNAcentral describes it as "partial 16S ribosomal RNA". It matches the Rfam family "Bacterial small subunit ribosomal RNA", at positions 355 to 776 of the family's 1533-position model. The record is from RNAcentral.